Molecule: long non-coding RNA, 371 nt
Filed under: Lepisosteus oculatus (spotted gar)
Lineage: Eukaryota; Metazoa; Chordata; Actinopteri; Semionotiformes; Lepisosteidae
Description: lncRNA (ENSLOCG00000021588.1)
Source: RNAcentral
AGGCGUGGAAUACAAACAUUACAGACCGGCAAUCUUCGGCUUCUAAUUUAGAUGACCUUUUAAAUGGAUAAAUAACCAAUUCCUUUGCUAUCUAGGGAAAUAAUAUCUACAACAGUGGAAUAAUUAUUUUAGAAGUUUAAAAUGCUGACACAGUGUAACCACCAUAACUCCCAGUUAAUGAGUGGAAUUCUUCACCAUCAGAAUUCUCAGUUAUCUGUGCCACGCAUUGGCCCUGCAACAGGCUUCCACUUCAGAGAUGUCUCAGUGCCGAGUGGGAAGCCAGGCUGGAAUGAUCCUCGGGUGAAAAUGGAAGCUUGGUCGAAGCCCCAUAGGAAGUUUAGAGUGAGCCUGAAUCCCAGGCCAAAGCCGUC